Molecule: ribosomal RNA, 294 nt
Filed under: uncultured bacterium
Lineage: Bacteria
Description: partial 16S ribosomal RNA
Rfam family: Bacterial small subunit ribosomal RNA
Source: RNAcentral
UUGCCUACGGGACGCCGCAGUGUGGCUUAUUGGCGUUUUGGCGUACGCCUGAACCAGCCAAGUCGCGUGAGGGAAGACUGCCCUAUGGGUUGUAAACCUCUUUUGUCAGGGAGCAAUUGGCGCUACGUGUAGCGUUAUCGAGAGUACCUGAAGAAAAAGCAUCGGCUAACUCCGUGCCAGCAGCCGCGGUAAUACGGAGGAUGCGAGCGUUAUCCGGAUUUAUUGGGUUUAAAGGGUGCGUAGGCGGAAUGCCAAGUCAGCGGUAAAAUCGCGGGGCUCAACCUCGCUCCGCCG